RNAcentral lists this long non-coding RNA (14792 nucleotides) under Oryza sativa (Asian cultivated rice). RNAcentral's name for it is "long non-coding RNA (OSAT_LNC000897)". Lineage: Eukaryota; Viridiplantae; Streptophyta; Magnoliopsida; Poales; Poaceae. The record is from RNAcentral.
GGCAGGGGCAAUCUGGAUCAAUUGCUACCUCGGCUUCGACCCCGACGUGCCGUUCGGGGGGUACAAGAUGAGCGGCUUCGGCAAGGACAUGGGCAUGGACGCCCUUGAGAAGUACCUCCACACCAAGGCGGUGGUCACCCCUCUCUACAACACCCCUUGGCUAUGAUCUGAUGAUGAACAGCACAGAAAGAUUAAUUACAGUGGAAAAAAAUAACAUUUCUAUAUAUACAGCUGAAAGGUUGGGUUAUAUUUGUGGUUAGUUGAUUGCUUGUAUCAAAUAUCAAUUUGUCGGAAUAAAGACAGUAUAUUUCAGUUUCUCGGUGUGUUUUUCUUUGUCUGAUGAUCUGACGUAAACCCAUAAGAAAAAGGUUAAUGACAGUAUACUAUCAAACGCUAACCGACACCGACACAUUGACUUUUUUUUGCGUUGACUUUUUCUAUUACUCGGCAGUAAUAUGAAAUCUUGACAAAUCUGUUUUUUGAGGUGAUAAAGGUGCAUCGGCCUCGUUGACAAAUAAGAAAUUGAUUGGUCAUAUGCAAUUUGCUAGAAACAAGCUAGCUAGGACCUAGGAUUAUGAUACUCAAGAGGACACUUGCAAAUUGGAGUAAGAUAUUACAAAUUUCCUUUAAAACUUGGAAUAUGUAUAGCAUCCCAAAAGGCUACUUUUCUGAUCGUGACUGAUUAACAGAAGACCACCCUUGGAUCGAUUGUCAACGAUACAGUGGUCCAGAGAUCUGUUGUUUUCCAAUUAAAAGUCUGCUGGAAGUUGGACUAACAAAUUGAAAGUGCAGAUCAAUAUAGUCCCUUCAGUCACAACUAGAUGUUAUUUCGACAAUACAUAAUAUAACAUGGCAACUUUAACUAUUUACUCCGGUCAAGGAAACAUUUCGUUACCUUGACAAUAUCUUUAAAACACAACUUUAACUACUAGCUUACCCUUGUAAAACAAGAUUACUACUAAUUUCUAUUGCAAAUAUUUAUAAGGCAAAAUUUUCUAGAAGAAAUUCAAAGAUUAUGGCUUUACUAUCAAAACGUAGGGGCUGUUUGGUUCAUAUACUAACAUUGCCUAGAUUUACCAUACUUUCUUAGCUAAACUUGUCAAAGGUGAUGCCAUCAAAAUCCAAGCCACACUCUAACCAACAAAAUGAAACCAUGCCACACUUUUAGAGUCACUUACAUGUGGGACCUAGAUUACAAAAGAUGAAUCUUGUCACAUUUGUGGGAGCCAACCAAACACUCAUUUAACAUGGUCAAACUUGCCUAACCUCAAGUAUGGUAAAGUGUGGCAACUUAUGCCUAUCAACCAAACAGCCUCGGCUUGAGGACACCUUAAAAACAUGAUAACUUGCUGGAGAACACCGUGUCAGUUAAUUUACCAUUUCUAACAUGUUUGAGCAGAGAGAUAUUUUAAGAUGACUAUAAUGCCACUCCCAUCCGUGUGAACGAGGCAAGUACGUUUGGUUUUAACCAGACUGUAUCCCUACCCCCUCUAUGCUCUCUCACUCUCAAAAACCUAGCAGGUGGCAAGGUGGUGAGGAAGAACGAAAGGGGCAACAUACAUAUUGAGUGGAUAUUACAGUUUAAUGGUUGUGCAUGAUGUCCUCUAGCAAUUAAAUUACCAUAUUUUUAUGUUGUGUACAGCCAAAUUCAUGUUUUACUAGUGUCCAAUAGCAAAAACCAUAAUCUUUGGAUGUCCUAUAGUGAAAUUUGUUUAUUUACAAAACAUGACAAACACAUAAUACUAUGAAAAUAAUUUUCAAGACAAAUCUACGUAUAUGAUUUUCAUGCAUAUGGUGUCAAUAUUUAGAAAGCAUUGAUGUUUAAAGUUUUUAAAAAAUUGAUUUAAGACAUUCAAAACAAUAUAUUUCUAUGACUCUGGGACUACUGAACUACUGAUUCUUGUUGUAAAGUGUUUAUAAAAUCCAUUUAAAUUAUAAUUUUAAUGAAAGUACUUUUUUGAGGCAAAGAGCAUGCAUCUUGUAUGAUUUUCAUAUACUCAAUCUACAUAUUUAUUAAAAUAAAUUGAUACUCUAACUUUAAAAGGUUUGAUUAGAUGCUUGUCCAAAACAAUUAGGGGAAGUACUAUUUGUAAUAGGAGAAAAGUGCUUCUAACUCUAAAAUGAUUAGUACUAUCAAAUGCUGAGAUAAUGACGUGCCAAGGUAAGCUAAUUUCAUCCUUUGGGCUAUAAUUAUGCCCCAAGUCAACCUCUGAUUACGCGAUAAUUUAGACGAAACUUAAGCUAGAGGCCUAGAGCGUAGCUCUCAUGAUGAUUUCAUAACAAAUAUAGCGUGACAUGUACAAAUCGCGUUGCUUAAAGGCAACCAGCUCUCAGUUAGACAAAAGUUAUUAAUUGAUUGGGUCCCGGCUCGUCCAAUGUAUUAGUUAAUUGUAGGGUUGUCCAUCAAGCAAGUGUUGUCUGGAUCGAUUAUGGAUCGCUAAUUUAAAUUAAAUUUGACGGUUUUGGCAGUCACGUUAGUCGAAUUGUGUAGAGUAUUUGUAUUCCAAAGCAGGAGGGCAUGCGAUAUAAUUCGAUCAACAAACGAUCAAAUGGAGAUAAUAUAAUUAAAGAAUUGAAGACCGUCUUAUUGUUGAGUCGAUCAUUGUCUUGGGAUGUUACUCUGUGACAAGAUAUAUAUAUAAGCGAAAAUGCCAGAUGAUGCCCUUGAUUAACUUGAACUUAUUAUAUGAUGUAAUCCCUACGUUUUUUAAUACACAACACCACUGAUAAAAUACGUUUAAUUAUUCAUCUUAUUUAAAAAAUUAACAUAAUUAUAUUAUAUUUUAUUAUGACUUGACUUAUCAUUAAAGGUUUUUUAAUCAUGCAUGACUUAUAUCUUGCUGUGUUUGUGUAAAAUUUAUUGAUCAAACAUAUGUAAAAAGGUUAGCAGCGUCAGAUAUUAUAAAAAUGAAAAGAGUAUUACCUUAAGUAACAAUUUUUUUAUAGAACUCUAACCAGCAUUUCCGUGUACGUACUUACCAAGAAAAAUUUAGUGGCCAUGAUUUAUCAUUUCUUUAAUUGAUAUUUAGAAGGUGAAAAUGUGAAAUUCCCUAAUAUAAUCUUUAAAAUAUGUUUGUGAAUGUGUUGAGUUCAUAUUACCAGUGGUAUUACCAGUGGUCCAGUUGGUAUUGUCCACGUAAUUAAUUAAAACAAGAGGAGGUUUCUCAGAACAGAUCAACGCAUGCAUGCUUGAACCUUGCUGUGCAUAUAUGGUGCAUUCAACAGGUUGCAUCUUGUAUCAAAUUAAACUUGUCUACUGCUUGUCCCAUUCUUUUCUCCAACAAGAGUUAGAUUAAUAUUAAGAUUUUCAUGGUACGCUUUUCAAACUGCUAAACGGUGCGUUUCGUGCGAAAACUUUUUAUAUAAAAGUUGCUCUAAAAUAUCAUAUUAAUCUAUUUUUCAAGUUUGCAAUAAUUAAAACUUAACCAACCAUACGUUAAUACCACCUCGUUUUGCAUAAAAAACUUAAUUUUCAUCUUCAGAAGAAAAGAACACCUUGCUCUGAUGAACUUUGAUCCAAGGGCUCAAAUUGUAAUGCCCCUCCCAUUUCUUCUUUAUAAGCGCUUUCUGGAAGGUGAAUCUCUUGACAUUCAUGGCUUAAGAACUAAAAAGGUCUCAUAAGGCCAACCGAAAAGUUUGUGUGUGUUCCGUGAAAGUUCCCAAAGUUGGAAAAAGGUUGUGUACGUCAGUGAAAGAUUUUUAAGUUUUGUGGGUCAAUUAUAUGGAAUUUCCCAUCUGGAAGUUUACUUUACCAGUUAUUACAAGAAACUCAUUUCAGAAUUUUGAGAUCUCAGUCAAUUUUUAUUGUUUUAUCUGGAUUGAAAUUUCCGAGGAUUGAAUCAUGCGAGGUUAAAGUCCAAAUUUAAUUUCCACGCUUCACCAGUUGAAGAUCGUAAAAUGAACUUAUUAAUUCAUUGUAUUAACCCUAUUAUGUAAAAAAUAGUCGAUAUAGCAAAACAACGACUAACCUUCUCGAUCGCUUCAGUCAUUGAUCAUCCAAGACAUACCAGAUAAAGACACAGAAACACACGAUAUUUGUUAACGAGAUUCAGCCAAAGCGUACAUCUCCGGGGCUCGCGCUCCUCCCAAAUCAAUAUAGCAACUAAGCCGCUACGAGUCCAUAGCUUGUAGUAGGCCCCAAUCAAUAUAACAAUUAGGAGACUUUUGUUAUCCCUGUAAUUUCUUCAUAUGGACUCUGCCUGCAGUAGUCCUCCAUUUUCCCACCUAUCAUCUUAGUCAUCUUGCCAACUCAAAUUGAACUCCUCCUUAACCGGCUCAUACUAGACUCCUCAAAGGCCAUGUUCACCUUUAUCUUCUGUCUUAAAUUUGAUUUUAUCUAAUCCAUGACUAGAUAGCUCUUGUCAUCACUAAAUAAACAAAUCAAACUCAUUGGACUAUUGAAGAGAACCAUUUCUUCCUUGUUUUUUUGAGGAGAAAUACUGUAGGGGAAACCCCCACAGUAAAAAAAUUAUUAAUAAAAAUUAAAAAAAUAUUUACAAGAGGUUUAUCCAUUGUGAAAGAGUUUGUCUCUCAGAAACAUUUAAUAUAAAAACUAAAAGCGAAAGAUCAAUCUUAAAGAAAGCUUUCCCAUAAGAAACUAAUGGAGGUAUAUUCUUAAAGAUUAGUGAGUUUCUUUGCUUCCAAAUGUUCCACGCUGCAUAAAGAACUUUCUCAACAAAAUGUGAAGACCUAUAGGAAGUCUUUGCUUGAUGUAGCUAGCUAGCAUAUCUUCAAAGGUGAGAGGGAUGUCCCAGACAAUACCAAACCGAGCCCAGCAAUCAGCACUAAAAGGACGCUGAAAGAAAAUAUGUAAAGUGGUUUCUCUUGCAUGGGUUGAACAGAGCACACAUGCUAAAUCAGAAUUGUCAGAAGGACAAUGUCUUCUAUCAAGCAUGUCAUAGGUAUUAAUUUAAACGAUUGAUUAAGAGAAGCCAACCAAAAACCAUAAAUUUUAUAGAACACUUGCUUUUCCAAAUCCAAAUCAAAUACCCAGGCGCCUGUAUAUGCAUAAAAUUGAUGUCAUGACCAUUUCUUUCUUAUUAUCUUAUGAACCGAGCUAAAAAAUCCAACAUCUAUGUUUUCUGCAUCCGUAGACCAAAUCCAUGAUAAUUUGAGAAAAUUCAAUAUUGCCUUGAAUCACUUGAACAAGUUAUCACGAUAACCUUUGCUCUUCCUCUUUAAUGACACAUAUUUUCAUAUAUCCUAUCAUGCCGACCCGUAUAUCUUAGAUAUAUCUUGUACUGCCAAACGAAUCAACGAAUUCAACCCACUGUUGCCCGGGUAUUUUUUUCAACCUGAUCCGAACGUCCUAUUACCCACGGUAUGAUUGCUUGCUUGCAAUCUAACCUUCUAGCUCUGACCUAGCUCGGUCUGGUCUGCACACAUGACACACCUCUACCACACAUCUUGCUGGGUGAUCACUUUGUGCAAGCAAUAUGCAUAGGACAACACCCUAUGCCAUUAGUCUGUGCCUCUGCACGUACCGCAGUCGCAGCCCUCGUGUCCACCAUCCACGACCUCAUCGUCCUCUGCCCUGCACAUCCACCGCACCGCAUCACGUUCGUCAGCUUCGCCCUUCUUCUAUAGCCUCCUCGCCGUCGCGGAUCUGCGAUCGCCGCGUGCGUCAGGCAUGUCGUUCGUAGCACUACCCCUCCGAUAUCUCAGAACACCUACGGCCAUGUCCAGCCUCAUCUUCCAAUCACGUUCUGCCAUCCCUGGUUUGAUCACAAGCUUCGCCUCCACAACAUCCUCGUUGUCACCAUCUAUCUCGUUGCCAUGAUUGAUGAUCUCCUUCCGAUGCAUGAUCCCACCUCGUGUUUCCUCCUUCACAUGUCUUCUUGAUCAAAAUGCUAAAACCUUUGGCUUUGAUACCACUUGUUAUAAAAGUUAGUUGAUAUAGCGGAACAACGACUAACAUUCUCAAUCACUUCAGUCAUUGAUCACCCAAGACACAUUACAUGAAGACACAAGAACUCACGAUAUUUGUCAACGAGGUUCAACCGAAGCCCAUAUCUCCAGAGCUCUGAUUAUGGAUGCUUCUCCCCAAUCAACAUGGCAACUAAGCCAUUAUGAGUCCAUGACGUGUCUACGCACAUUGUAGUCGACAUGGUUACAUUGUGGUGCUCCCCUCUAUUUAAAGAAAACAUAUGACAGGAAUCCGAUUCUAACUCUGUAUCCUACACCUAUUCUAACUUCAAAUCCAACUUCUAGUAGGACUAGUAUAUUCGACAUAUUCUAACCAUUUGUAAGUUUAUAGUAUUUGUUAAAAAAAAGACCAAAAGUACACUACUCCUAAAAUCCACCAAAUUAAUACGUUAACAAGAACAAAUUAAAGGACAAAAAUUUAAUACCGUUCAUUUUAGGUUGACCACUCUACAUAUAAACAAAAUAAAUUUUAAGGUACUUAAGAAAGUACCUAUAGAAAGUACAUGUAGGUAACAAAUUUUACACUAAAAUUAAAAAUUUUGGUACCUAUAGAUAUUAAGUACCUAGGAAUAUCAUGUUUUAUAUAAAAAAAAUAUGAUAUCCCCUAUCUUUUCAAAGGUGAUAAAAUUACUCGCAAAAUACAGCUGUAUAUAUUUACAGAAAUAGAAACAAAGGUAUAUAUCAAAUUAAUACAGUAUUACUUCCAACUAAAUUUAGACCUUGGUCCAUGCAAUUUUCUUAGCAAAAUCCAGUUAGUUUACUAAUUAAAUAUAGAAACUUAGACAACACUCAUGCAUGAUAUAACAGAAAUAUGGUGUCUCUAGAAGAAAGUCCAUAUAAAAGCAUCAACCGGCGGAAACAUAUGAAGCAGGAGAAGACACGUCGACCGAGGAUAAGUAGUCUAUAGUGUACAUGUUGCGGUACGCCUAUCUUGUAAAGUACAUGCAACUGGACGUGCGAACGAAAACCAUCACAUACUACUACUACAUAAUAGCAGCAGCCGGUGGCACAGGAAUUAAGGUGAAGCUGUUGACCAUAUAGUUAACUAAUCUGCACAUGGAAGCUAGUGUUAGAAAAUACCCCCCUCAGUUACAUAUUGUAAGUUCUAAAAAAAGUUCCCCAUAUUGUAACAUUUAUUUAGUUUUUUUCUGAAUUAAAAGUUCUUUAACUUCAAUCAAAAUAUAGGGAAAAAAAAGUAAGUAACAUCUACAUUCCCAAAUGAAUACACUAUGCAAGACAUGUUUCACAGUAGAUUUCAGUUAAACUUGAUAUUGUAAACGUUUGCAUAUUUUAUGUAAAUUUGAUUUAAGUUACAAAAAUUUUACUUAUAACACAAAACUGAAACUGAUAGAUGUUAAGUACAAUGAUUGAUUAAUGUUUGAUAGUAACAGCCAUGAGAGACAUCAAAUGCUCACUCUAUCUUAAAAUAUAAGCAUUUUUAAAAAUAAAGCUAAAUCAAAUAUUUUUAACUUUUGCUAUCAAUAGCAAAAAAAAAACAACCAUGUAUAUGGAUAAUAUUACUCGACUUAGCAUUAAACAAAUUAACAUACUAUGCAACUCUUUUCAUUUAAACAACUUAUUUUUAUAAAUAUUAUUGAUAGCAUCUCAAAGAUCUUGUUAAAGUAAAAAAAACACACACACAUAUAUAAAAAUAUAAUGGAUGGAGAAAAAAAUUGAACAGAAGAAUUGGGCCAAGUCCAACCAAUGAGGUGCUUUUCCUAGGUACAGCCAAUAUAGCCUGGCACGAUCGAUGGAUGCAUUGGGACGAUGGGUCGUCAUCGUCUAUAUAAAGAUCAAGCCAGUCGUCCCUGCUGUGUCCAAGAGAUCUACUGUUCUCCUUGUUGAGAGGAAGCCAUCCAGCCAGCUAGCUAUAAGAUAGAUAGAAGAAGAUCAAGACGACGACCAAGUAGAGGAUAGGCAUCUCUCGAAGCUUAGAGACAAAUAAUUAACUAGAGAUCAAGAGCCUAUUCGUCGUCCAUGGGGAGCACCGGCGACUGCGGCAAUGGAAAGGCGGCCGCCGGCGGCGGCGGGUUGGUGGUGCCGGAGAUCAAGUUCACCAAGCUCUUCAUCAACGGCGAGUUCGUCGACGCCGCCUCGGGUAAUACAUAGAUAUAUGCCUCAUCGUCAUUGAUUAACUUAAUUAAUUAAUUAAUUAAUUAAUUCCCAUGGUUUCUUUACAAGAUAGGCGUACUGCUACACGUUUCAUCGUCUUUGAUUAUAAUUUUUCAUCCUUAUGUGUGUUUCUACCCAUUCUCUUUCCAGCUAUCUGAUACGAGAAAUUUAAUUUACCAUACCCGAGGUACCAGUACUUAGGAUAUUUAGGAAGUACCAAAGUUUAUAUAAAAAAUAUGAUACCAAUACAACUUAAUUCAGAACUGUCUCUAAUAUUUAUAGGAAACUAUUUAAGCUCUCGACAAUUCCGUACCAUUUUUUUUUUACAUUUUCUUUGGAAAAUAUGAUAAAUUUAACCGGCCUCUACAAAUUAAUAGUUAUGAACAAUCCUGCAAUAUAUAUAUAUAUAUAUAUAUAUAUAUAUAUAUAUAUAGUUAUGAACAAUUUUGUCACGUAUAUUAGUAUUUUACCGUAUACGCACUGUCGUUGUCGUCGUCAGCCAACUGAUCAAAAUCUCUCCCAAGGAAAACUAACGGCUUAACAUCGAGCAUGGAAUGCAAACGAUAUGAUGGUACUCUGUUGACGAACUAAUUUAUUGGAGUUAACUCAUGCUCGAUUUCUUGCAUAAAAAUUAGAGAAAUAUGUAGGUACGUACGUGUAUGAAUAUAAUGUACAAAUAUGUAGGUACGUAUGAAUAUGAUGUACUGCGUGUUGCUAUAGAGCUGAGGCGGUUUUUGUUUUGUUUUUUUUGUUUUGAAAAUAGCCGCUAGCUAGCUAGCUUUCUCUUCAAUUCUCGCGGUCUCCUGAAAAUGAAAGAAAGAGUAUGUUCCAACAUGGAAAACUCUCGACGACCGAUCUAAUACUGAAAAUUAAAGAGGAGGUUAAAACUUAAACCUUACGGGGGCAAAGAAUCUAACUGCUCUGGAUCUAGCUAGCUGUACUAUAUUUUCACAAAUUUCUCCUGUUCUAUUUAAUAAAAUUGGUGGCUCAUGAUUCGUUAAACAAAAAAAAGGAAUUCUUGCUGCCUCCAUCAAAACAUUAAACGACCAUCCAUGUCCAUGAACCCUUGUACUAACGGUACACCACACAUUUAUAUCAUUUAUAUCAGUUACCAUAUACGUAAGUAGCCAUGUCUGCUGGUGGUUAAUUUAUUGCAAUAAUAUAACCUAUAGUGUUUUAUAUGUUAUUUCUUUCUCUCUUUAUUCUUUUUGCAUCAUAUAUAUCAUUCAUCAGAAGUAGUUAAUUAAUUAAAUUAAAGCGUAAUUCCUAUAGUUUUUUUAAUUCGGUGUUAUUUAUUUUCUCUUAAUUAUUAUAUAUUUUCUUUUACAUCAUUCAUCACAAGUAUAUAAAGCAUGAAUGAAACAAAGUUUUGCGUCAUGCAUGAGUCAUGUACUUUGGCAUUAUGAAAUGAGCACAUGAUAUUGACUCUUAGACGUGGUUGCAUCCGUAGAAACAGGAGGCCAGAUCGAAGCCAAGUCAAAACGGUUGUGUACGUUCUAUAUGUCUCGCUCCCAGCUAUACAGAUAUCUACAAAUAAUAAAGAAUAUAUUUUUGUUUAUCUCCUUAGCUAAGCUAGCAUUAGCAGCCGGCCAGCACAGCACACAUGACAAGCUAGCUAUUCCCUCCGAUUUUAAUAUAUAACAACUUUUUAGGACACACAUUUGUUUGACUAUUUGUCAGAUUUAAAAUUGUGUGUAAACAUAAAAAAAAUACAAGUUAUUCUUAAAGUAUAUAUAUAAUGAUAAAAUAAAUAAUAACCUUAUGAUUUUUUAAAAUAAGAUGAAUGGUUAUGUUUAAAUGUCAAUUGUGCCAAAUCGGAGAGGGUAUUAGCUAGCUACUACAUGAAGCACCAUGAAUCGUACGUCAAGUGGCCAAACGUGGCGUGCACUGCGAUUGCAAAUUAAGGCAGUUAAAAAAAUUUUGGUUUCUUUGUAGGGGGAAUAGCUUUAUUUAUUUACAAGAGAAAACAAAUUAUCCAGCAUUUAUUAUGCCCUCAGAAAAAUAUCCACCCUAAAAAUGGAAAAAGGGAAUCAAUGUGAGUGUGGCUCCACGUAGACAUGACGUCAUGGUGAGAGGGAACAGCUUUGACUAGUCAUAAAUAUCUUCCAUUCUCGUGGGAUUCUGUUCAUAAUCCUCGGCAUUCCCUCAUUGUGCCACUAACAAAAUGGACCUUGCUUUCAAAAAAAAAAAAAAGAUGGACCAAGAAGGUCCUGUCGGUACAAAACUUUGAAAAAUCUCAAAUUGUUCUUCCUCUAUUUGGAUUGGCCAUUGCAACCGAUCAAAGUUGAAAAUUUUGAUCAGUGUCUUGUACUCUUGUACCACUUCUGUCCCAUAAUAAUUAUAUUUCUAGAAUUCAAAUUAUCUCAAAUGGUUUUCGUAAUAAAGUACAAAUUAUCUCAUCAAUCACUUCCCAUUCAAAUUCCUCCAUAUUUUACUCUCAAGCACCCUCCCACUUUUACAUAUGCACCAUUGAAUGAGAGACAUCAUAGUUUUUCUUCUCUGUAUCAUAUAUAAGUCAUUUCACUUUUUUAGUUAAAUUUCUUUGAGUUUGACCGAGUUUAUAUAAAAAUAUAGUAACAUUUUCAAUGCAAAACAAACAUAUUAUCAAAAUAUAUUCAAUGUUAGAUUUAAUGAAACUAAUUUGGCAUUGUAGAUGUUGCUAAUAUUUUCUAUAAACUUGGUCAAACCUAAACAACUUUGACUAAGAAAAGUGUCAAACGAUUUAUAAUAUGAAGCAGAGAGAGUAUAUGAUAAGAUAAUUUAGAAUUACAAUUACUUCGGGACGAAGGUAAUAUCAAAAUUAGGGUUUACAAGAAUGGAAAUAAUGUUCACUCUAUUAAAGUGUUUGACUUUUUCAACUUUUCUAAAAAUAUUUGCCACGGUCUUUUCUUUUCCUCUUAUGUUUGUGUGAAGUGGAUACUUCACUCUCGUGAUAAAUCAAGUCAUACUUUUUCAACUGAAAAUAGUUAUCUCUACCACUUUAAAAGUGCAGUCGUCCUCCUUCUGUUCUCUGUCCAUCAUUCCACCUAGGGUCCAGCAUUUUAUUCUCGAUCCACCUAUCGAGCCAACCCCUAAUUAUAUGGGCCUAGCCUGUGCUUUAUUCUUAAUCCACCCACUCAGCUAAUCUCAAAGGUCUGGCCCUAUAUUACUACUAAGGAAAAAAAUGAUGGUGCAAAGAGAUAAACUAAAAGACAUCACCCAAAGGACCAUGGAAAAACUCAAAAUGUUAAUCUCUAUCUCCUUAAAUCUUGUUUCAAGAACGAAAACGGACAAAUGUAAUUGUUUCUAUGUGGAUUUGAUUUUUACAGGCAAGACAUUCAAGACAAGGGACCCACGAACAGGCGAUGUCCUGGCCCACAUCGCAGAGGCAGACAAGGCUGAUGUGGACCUCGCCGUCAAGGCCGCGAGAGAGGCCUUCGAGCACGGCAAGUGGCCCCGCAUGUCAGGCUAUGUACGUGUUUCCACUCCCAUAUGAUCUUCUUCAGAGCCAAAUUUUACAAGUUCGUCCAAUUUACUGUAUGGUACUGUAGCUUGUCCGACAAAAUCCACAAACAAUGUUGCCGUCACGCAGGAGAGGAGCAGGGUGAUGAACAAGCUGGCCGACCUGGUGGAGCAGCACGCCGACGAGCUGGCGGCGCUGGACGGCGCCGACGCCGGGAAGCUGCUGACGCUGGGCAAGAUCAUCGACAUGCCCGCCGCGGCGCAGAUGAUGCGGUACUACGCCGGCGCGGCCGACAAGAUCCACGGCGAGUCCCUUCGGGUGGCCGGCAAGUACCAGGGGUACACCCUCAGGGAGCCCAUCGGCGUCGUCGGCGUCAUCAUCCCCUGGAACUUCCCCACCAUGAUGUUCUUCCUCAAGGUCAGCCCCGCCCUCGCCGCCGGCUGCACCAUCGUCGUCAAGCCCGCCGAGCAGACGCCCCUCUCCGCUCUGUACUACGCUCACCUCGCCAAGCUGGUAACCAAUGUUCAAACCAAAUCCACCCUUUUGUUUUCAUGCCUGCUUUUCUUCUUGUUCUUGAGUUGAUUUUCUAGAAUUUGGAUGAUAAUUCAGUGUACCUUUGAUAUCAUCAUUCAGGCUGGAGUUCCGGAUGGAGUGAUCAACGUCGUCCCGGGAUUCGGGCCGACAGCCGGUGCGGCACUCUCCUCCCACAUGGACGUCGACAGUGUGAGCACUCCGAUCACCAUCUGGUACUGUAGCGUUUCAGGUUUUUGUCUGAAUGAGUUUCUGACCGAAAUGUUGUUGUGCAUAUGUCAGGUUGCUUUCACUGGCUCUGCUGAAAUCGGCCGUGCCAUCAUGGAGUCGGCGGCGCGGAGCAACCUGAAGAAUGUGUCUCUUGAGCUCGGCGGCAAGUCUCCGAUGAUAGUCUUCGACGACGCCGAUGUCGACAUGGCUGUCAGUCUGUCAUCCCUUGCAGUUUUCUUCAACAAGGUAACUAAAUGCACUAUGCACCGGACCAAGGUUCAGAAAUGUUCAGGUUAGGAGUGUUCAGUUCAGACUCUGAACUUCAGAGCAAAAAAAAACUGACCGUGCUACUGGCGUCUGAAAUUUUCAGGGAGAGAUUUGCGUGGCCGGGUCACGCGUCUAUGUCCAAGAAGGGAUCUACGAUGAGUUUGUGAAGAAGGCCGUGGAGGCUGCCAAGAACUGGAAAGUUGGAGACCCUUUUGAUGCUGCCACCAAUAUGGGUCCUCAGGUAAUAUUAUCCUACUAUUUUCAUAUUUUUGUUCUGAAACAUUUUCUGUCGAAAUGCGAGCAAUGGAAGAAAAAACAUUGAGAUGACAAAAUGGACAAUUGUAUCAGAACUUAUGAACAUUAUGUUUUCAUUUGCUAGGUUGACAAGGUCCAAUUUGAGAGGGUUCUCAAGUACAUUGAGAUCGGCAAGAACGAGGGAGCAACCCUACUCACAGGUGGCAAACCCACUGGUGACAAAGGAUACUACAUUGAGCCUACCAUAUUUGUGGAUGUCAAGGUAACCAGCUUACAUUUAGAAGCACAAUCAAAUCAAAUCAACAAUGCUCAUCUGGGUUGAUCCUCCAUGCAGGAGGAAAUGACGAUUGCGCAAGAGGAGAUCUUCGGCCCGGUGAUGUCCCUCAUGAAGUUCAAGUCAGUACUCAAAAACCUCACAAGUUUCGAUGAUCUGAUCUCAUCUCCAAAACAAACAAAAAAAAACAUUCUGAAAACUUGACUUAUGAUCUGAACUUUUUUUUUUCUUCAGGACGGUGGAGGAGGCGAUAGAGAAGGCCAACUGCACCAAGUACGGGCUGGCUGCCGGCAUUGUGACCAAGAACCUCAACAUUGCCAACAUGGUGUCGAGGUCAGUGCGGGCCGGCACGGUGUGGGUGAACUGCUACUUCGCCUUCGACCCCGACGCGCCGUUCGGCGGGUACAAGAUGAGCGGGUUCGGCCGGGACCAAGGGAUGGUCGCCAUGGACAAGUACCUGCAGGUCAAGACCGUCAUCACCGCCGUCCCGGACUCGCCCUGGUACUGAUAAAUCAAAUCAAGCAGCAGCUAUAGCUAGAGUGUACCAUGUACCAUGAAUGCUGCAGCCUGUGUAGUGUUUUCGGAUGUUUUUCUCCUUAAUUCUGCUGCUGCUUGGUGUGGUUGUAUGUAGUUUGGUUGUGGGGUGAGAUAUGGUGCAGAUUAAAAGGGGUUCUGAUGAUCAUGAUCUGAUCCUUGUUUGGUUGAACUUGUUGAGAAAUGGAUGUAUAGAACUCAUGUGCCAUCGUUUGAAAUCGUACAAAAUGUGCCUCAAAGUUCAAAGCAGGUUGGAUUAUUCGAACGGGGUACUGUGCCCUGAGCCCCUGACCGCCUUGUUCGGUAUGGAAGGGGUUGAAGGGGUUUGGAGGGAUUUGAGGGGGAAUAAUUCCACACCACAAUAGGUGUGGAAUAAAUCCCCUCCAAUCCCUCUCUCUUGGGGAUUAACCGAACAUAGCAUUAACAGUAUGACUGGAGUUGUUUUAAUUGUGUUCUCUGAUAAAUGGCCAGAGCCAGAUGCAAGAAUGAAUACUGAGCAAUACCAUUAGGACGAAUGCAUGACGGUCUCAAGUUGAAAACGGAUGAUAUAGGCAGAUAUAUAAGCACUCAUAGAAACAACAGGAAACUUCUUAAAAUAUUUGCCACGCAUUUCAGGGCAUCGUGAUAUGCUACCGAACUUUUGGUUUCCAUUAGUCAGAUGAAAAUUCCAUGUCCUGUUUUGCCGAGCCAUGUUUUUUUUUUCCGAAAGAAGAAGAAGAAAAACCAAAGUAGGAAUUUUGUACAAUAACUUUUGUUGCACAGAAAUCAUCUUAUUGGUUUGGCAUUCAUUUCUGUAAAUCAAAACAUACCAUAUUCAUUUCUAAGUUAUGCACACACUCGAUUAGCAAGAGAAAAUAAUAUUGCCUCAAAAUAUAAACAGUUUUAGGGUUGGACACGAUGUUGAUGGGCUAUACCCAUAACAUGAUAAUUUGAUUUAAUCUAUCAUAAACUAGUGGUAAUUUGAUGCAUAUUAUGAAGUCUAAUCUUACCAGUCUGAGGAUGAACUGUCGAGGGUCAAGUCGAGGAUGACGAGCGGACGAGGAGGGGGAAAGCAGGAGCCAAGAGCUAACCGAGGCGAGGUAGCUGCAGCCUCAGAGUCGCAAGCAACAAGCUGUGUCGCCGGUCGCCACACGUGGAAUUGGGAUCGACAUCUCGGCAGUUAGUGUGGCGUGGAAUUAGGAUUGCACAGCAGCCAGCACUAGGGCCAAAAAAAAUUAGACGAUCGCACAGCCUAGUAGUGCC